GCGGGAGUAGUUCAAUGGUAGAACCUUAGCCUUCCAAGCUAAUGACGCGGGUUCGAUUCCCGCUUCCCGCUCCA
This 74-nucleotide transfer RNA is filed under the name Aquabacterium sp. RNAcentral's name for it is "tRNA-Gly". It matches the Rfam family "tRNA". From Rfam's summary of the family: Transfer RNA (tRNA) molecules are approximately 80 nucleotides in length. Their secondary structure includes four short double-helical elements and three loops (D, anti-codon, and T loops). RNAcentral also lists the same sequence under 9 other names. Lineage: Bacteria; Pseudomonadati; Pseudomonadota; Betaproteobacteria; Burkholderiales; Sphaerotilaceae. The record is from RNAcentral.